This 64-nucleotide transfer RNA is filed under the name Elysia ornata (ornate elysia). RNAcentral describes it as "tRNA-Ile". The record is from RNAcentral. Lineage: Eukaryota; Metazoa; Mollusca; Gastropoda; Plakobranchidae.
GAGCAGUCGCCGGCUGAACGGAUGCCAUUGAUGUUGGUAAAUAUGAGGGUGACCUUACUGCUUU